CGCGCCCGGCCCGCCGCCCCCGCCCCCCUACGGGAGGCAGCAGUAGGGAAUCUUCCACAAUGGACGAAAGUGUGAUGGAGCAACGCCGCGUGAGUGAAGAAGGUUCUCGGAUCGUAAAACUCUGUUGUGAGGGAAGAACAAGUACCGGAGUAACUGCCGGUACCUUGACGGUACCUCAUUAGAAAGCCACGGCUAAAUACGUGCCAGCAGCCGCGGUAAUACGUAGGUGGCGAGCGUUGUCCGGAAUCAUUGGGCGUAAAGCGCGCGCGGGCGGUCCCUUAAGUSUGAUGUGAAAGCCCACGGCUCUACCGUGGAGGGUCAUUGGAAACUGGGGGACUUGAGUGCAGAAGAGGAAAGCGGAAUUCCAAGUGUAGCGSUGAAAUGCGUAGAGAUUUGGAGGAACACCAGUGGCGAAGGCGGCUUUCUGGUCUGUAACUGACGCUGAGGCGCGAAAGCGUGGGGAGCAAACAGGAUAAGAUACCCUGGUGUCCACGCUGUAAACGAUGAGUGCUAAGUGUUAGGGGGUUCC
This 529-nucleotide ribosomal RNA is filed under the name uncultured bacterium. RNAcentral describes it as "bacterial SSU rRNA". It matches the Rfam family "Bacterial small subunit ribosomal RNA", at positions 295 to 834 of the family's 1533-position model. The record is from RNAcentral.